GAAGCCGAGGCACAUGUCAAGUACAACCGACUGUGCAAGAGGAUCUGGGAGUGCAAAAGCGAGCAUUGUGAGAUACAAGAAUCCAAUCAAAAUUUAAGGACAUGUCUGUCAGUGCCAACAAGAGACUAGGAUGCUUGGAGCGAGGCAUAGCAGAGUUAGAAAAGAAAUUUCUCAAGAGGGUCGAAGACUGCCAAAAUGCUGAAGGAAAUGUAGGCGGACAUCUAGCCAGAGCCUACCUAUUGCUGGGACUUCGCGAGUUAGGGAAACUAUUCUAUGGAUCUUGGGAUGUCGAAUCUUGGGAAGGUUCUUCUGCGACCAAAUCGAUAGGAGUUUCUUCUUUUUAUGAAAUGUAAUACGGCCAAUGGCCAUUAAUGACAUUUAUUCCUUAUUGGUUUAAUGUUGAUUUGGAAUUCGUCCUAUUUUCUAUCAAUAAAAUGAGGCAUCUAGAA
This 449-nucleotide long non-coding RNA is filed under the name Nicotiana benthamiana. RNAcentral describes it as "long non-coding RNA (NBEN_LNC023384)". The record is from RNAcentral. Lineage: Eukaryota; Viridiplantae; Streptophyta; Magnoliopsida; Solanales; Solanaceae.